Molecule: ribosomal RNA, 433 nt
Filed under: uncultured bacterium
Lineage: Bacteria
Description: partial 16S ribosomal RNA
Rfam family: Bacterial small subunit ribosomal RNA
Source: RNAcentral
AACGAACGCUGGCGGCAGGCCUAACACAUGCAAGUCGAGCGAGAUCUUCGGGUCUAGCGGCGGACGGGUGAGUAACGCGUGGGAAUAUGCCUCUUGGUACGGAAUAGCCUCGGGAAACUGGGAGUAAUACCGUAUGUGCCCUUUGGGGGAAAAAUUUAUCGCCAAGAGAUUAGCCCGCGUUGGAUUAGGUAGUUGGUGGGGUAAUGGCCUACCAAGCCGACGAUCCAUAGCUGGUUUGAGAGGAUGAUCAGCCACACUGGGACUGAGACACGGCCCAGACUCCUACGGGAGGCAGCAGUGGGGAAUCUUAGACAAUGGGGGCAACCCUGAUCUAGCCAUGCCGCGUGAGUGAUGAAGGCCUUAGGGUUGUAAAGCUCUUUCAGCUGGGAAGAUAAUGACGGUACCAGCAGAAGAAGCCCCGGCUAACUCCGUG